AAGGAUCAUUAACGAAUAACUAUGGUGUCUUGGUUGUAGCUGGCUCCUCGGAGCAAUGUGCACGCCCGCCAUUUUUAUCUUUCCACCUGUGCACCGACUGUAGGUCUGGAUACCUCUCGCCCUUCACGGGGCGGAUGCGAGGGUUGCCCGUCACACGGCUCCCCUCGAAUUUCCAGGCUCUACGUCUUUUUACACACCCCAAUAGUAUGAUGCAGAAUGUAGUCAAUGGGCUUCUCAGCCUAUAAAACACUAUACAACUUUCAGCAACGGAUCUCUUGGCUCUCGCAUCGAUGAAGAACGCAGCGAAAUGCGAUAAGUAAUGUGAAUUGCAGAAUUCAGUGAAUCAUCGAAUCUUUGAACGCACCUUGCGCUCCUUGGUAUUCCGAGGAGCAUGCCUGUUUGAGUGUCAUUAAAUUCUCAACCUCACCAGUUUUCUGAACUGUUCUUCGAGGCUUGGAUGUGGGGGUUUGUGCAGGCUGCCUCACGGCGGUCCGCUCCCUGAAAUGCAUUAGCGAGUUCAUACUGAACUUCCGUCUAUUGGUGUGAUAAUUAUCUACGCCGUGGACGAGGAUCAGACUCGCUUCUAACCGUCCGCGAGGACAAUACCUUGACAAUUUGACCUCAAAUCAGGUAGGACUACCCGCUGAACUUAAGCAUAUCAAUAA
This 665-nucleotide unclassified non-coding RNA is filed under the name vouchered mycorrhizae (Basidiomycota). RNAcentral describes it as "partial contains 18S rRNA, ITS1, 5.8S rRNA, ITS2 and 28S RNA". The stretch from base 256 to 409 matches the Rfam family "5.8S ribosomal RNA". Lineage: Eukaryota; Fungi; Basidiomycota. The record is from RNAcentral.